GUGAGGAAUUUUCCGCAAUGGGCGAAAGCCUGACGGAGCAAUGCCGCGUGAAGGAUGAAGGCCUAUGGGUUGUAAACUUCUUUUCUCAGAAAAGAAUUAUGACGGUAUCUGAGGAAUAAGCAUCGGCUAACUCUGUGCCAGCAGCCGCGGUAAGACAGAGGAUGCAAGCGUUAUCCGGAAUGAUUGGGCGUAACGCGUCUGUAGGUUGUUUAAAAAGUAUUCUGUCAAAGAUUAGGGCUUAACCCUAGAUAGGCAGAAUAAACUUUUAAGCUAGAGUUUGGUAGAGGCAGAGGGAAUUCCCGGUGGAGCAGUGAAAUGCGUAGAUAUCGGGAGGAACACCAAAGGCGAAGGCACUCUGCUGGGCCAAUACUAACACUGAGAGACGAAAGCGAGGGGAGCAAAUGGGAUUAGAUACCCCGGUAGUCC
RNAcentral lists this ribosomal RNA (426 nucleotides) under uncultured bacterium. RNAcentral describes it as "partial 16S ribosomal RNA". It matches the Rfam family "Bacterial small subunit ribosomal RNA", at positions 354 to 796 of the family's 1533-position model. The record is from RNAcentral.